GUAUAGGUUGUCGUUGACAGCCAACGAUAUUCAGUGACGUCGAUGACGGUCGUGGAAAUGACGAGGCUGAUAAUGAUUGCCACGACGACGAUGACACUUGGCCCCGCGAGCGUUUACGUAGACACGACAUUCGGAACGCGCGUUCGUAAUUAACGGAGCGUACAUAGUGAGCGAUUACUCGAUAGAUAAAGAAAAGUACAACUUCGCGAGUUGUACAAACAAAUUUUGUUUUACAUUUUCCAUCCGUUUCCUCGUUAUACUGCGAAUAUUUAGCAACCGCGUUGCCGUCGGAGGAAAUAUCCUCUACGUAGCGUGAAAUAUGCGCCGUUCCUGGCAACCAACCGCGCCGCAAGGUUACUUGUUCCCUUAAUUUUAGAAGCGUCGGUGAGGAACGCUCGAAGAUGCUUGUCGCGACGAAAAUAAUAACGUAACGCGGCUGCGGGGGCGAGAAUAAGAAUCACGGACUUCCUUGAAGGAUACGUUAGACUGACAGGACUUUCUACUUUUCCACCGACCAGUUUCCUCGAACGACAAGUAAAUCGACUGUGGAAUCGAAGGAACGCUAAAGCAGCUCGGGAACGAAGAAGGAGAAAGUCCGCGAGAUCGGAGACCGUUUCACUUUCGCCUUGUUCGACGAGCACCGUUGGACGUUGGAGCCGUUCCGGAUCGAAACACUUGGAUGGUGGAGUAUUUCGAAGGCAGACGAUCCGAAAGCUGCCUUAUCGCGCUAAGAGGACCGAUGCUCGUUGCCACGACAAGAGCAAACCAAGUUUGUACCGAAGUUUGGCCUUAUCACCUCUCUUCCAUAGUCCGAUCGCUACCUAGAGUCUAGGUCCUAGACGAUCGCUACGAAUUACGUAGGAUGGCCCAAACGAUCCACGAGCCCGUCCAAACCGGACCAAGUCGUUCCCGCGACAAGAAAAGACGCCGUACAGUGGACGUUUUCCAUGGAAUCGAUCCCAGAUCCAUUAGACUGGAAUGGAACCCGGGUCGAAGGGCCUCGGGGUCAUCGCGGUCGUUCCAGUGACCCAGUCAGCUCGGGCGCGACCUUCGAGGCGAUGUGUUCACCCAUUUAAACCAUCCUCCUGUACUUUCUCCCCGUCUCCCGGAUCGCUAUUUCUCUCUUUCGCAUCGCGAGAAGAAUACACAAGGGCACGUAGCCGCGCAUACAUACGUAUGGACGAACAUGGCGAGCGACGGCGAGGAGGGCAUUAACAGUGCCGCGAGGAGGAGGCGAGGGUACGGAAAAGAGAAUUCCGAACAGUGGUCGCUAGACGAAGAUCAUCCAGGGUAUGGGAAAGAGAGAAAGUGACGAGUGUACGUACAUAGGUUACACACCGACGCGACGUACAGAAAGGCGGGUAGGGACAGGGAAACGCGAACAGACGGAGAGGACCAGCGAACGGAACAGAGAACACCCGCCGGUCGAAAGACGAGGGAAGAGAGAAGUCUGGCAGUCAGGGCGGUAAACGAAGAGGGCCGACCGAGUGGGACAGGAUGCAACAAAGCACCGACAGGUACAUACUAAAUCGUAGGACAGUGUCAGAGGAUCGUGGCCCUGUGAGAAAGCUCUCUCACGAAGAGCGAUUCGGUUCACUGAAUGUUUCAAGCUACGUCCUAACGUAUUCCAUCGAGGGAAGCGUCCACAGGAGUCGCUUUCCUGCUGCGUUCCCCGAGGGUCAGGGCCCUGUCCCUUUGUCGCCCCUUUUCAAUGCUGCGCCUGCCUGGCUCUGCAGCUGCUCUUCUCUCUCUCUCUCUCUCUCUCUCUCUCUCUCUCUCUCUCUCUCUCUCACACGCACACACACACACACACACUAAAAGAGACGUUUUUCAAAGUCCCCUCCGCGCUAACGAUCGCCCGGUCUCUUCCUAUCCCUUCCUAUGACGCGAAACGCGAGGGUCGAAAAUCCCACUGGGAGAUUAUUUUUCCCUUUCCACCCUCCUGGCAUCCGCGCCCCACGUUCCUCUGACCUGGCCUCUCCGCCAAGGAAUAUUACGUCCCGGGACGCGGUUCCCGGGUGGAAAGAGGAAACUUCUGCCCCUUUCCGACUUUAUCGUCCUGCUCGCAGCAAAAUUCCCGCCGCGUGCCACAAUCUAACGACGAUCUCUCCAUUUUCUCGCCGGCGCCGUUUCGCGAGUUAACGUUGCGUUUUCGUCCUUUAAUGGAAUAUCUCGAGUAUCGCGCGGCCCGAGAAAGACUCCGCAAACUUUCAUUUACGUAUAUCCAACGACGUUUUACUCGAUGCCAAAGAAGAAUUUAUCGUCUUUCCGCGAAGGUAUACAUCGACAGGCAACGUAGAGUGGAUAUCGAUCUGUGCCUGAGAAGCCGACGUGCUCCGUUUCCUGGCCGUCUAUAAUUCAUCAUCGUUCCGCUUCCUGGUCUUUGUGCCUUCUGGACAAAGUCGAAGGCGUCGUUCGCCUGGAAACGCGUCGAUCGACUUCGGAAUAAAACUAUCGGAUAUGGGAGGACAUCCUAAGUUUGGCGAGAUUUAUUAGCGGUUAUACAAGAUAUACUUAUGAUAGUACACAUUUUCUUUUUUUUUUUAUACACGCGAAGGAGCA
Molecule: long non-coding RNA, 2562 nt
Organism: Hylaeus anthracinus
Lineage: Eukaryota; Metazoa; Arthropoda; Insecta; Hymenoptera; Colletidae
Exons: 6
Source: RefSeq, a predicted model, not a curated record